This 23-nucleotide non-coding RNA is filed under the name Arabidopsis thaliana (thale cress). Lineage: Eukaryota; Viridiplantae; Streptophyta; Magnoliopsida; Brassicales; Brassicaceae. The record is from RNAcentral.
GGGACUAUCGAUCACGGGCUGCA